RNAcentral lists this ribosomal RNA (562 nucleotides) under uncultured Paracoccaceae bacterium. RNAcentral describes it as "bacterial SSU rRNA". It matches the Rfam family "Bacterial small subunit ribosomal RNA", at positions 337 to 917 of the family's 1533-position model. The record is from RNAcentral. Lineage: Bacteria; Pseudomonadati; Pseudomonadota; Alphaproteobacteria; Rhodobacterales; Paracoccaceae.
UCCUACGGGAGGCAGCAGUGGGGAAUCUUAGACAAUGGGGGCAACCCUGAUCUAGCCAUGCCGCGUGAGUGAUGAAGGCCUUAGGGUCGUAAAGCUCUUUCGCCAGGGAUGAUAAUGACAGUACCUGGUAAAGAAACCCCGGCUAACUCCGUGUCAGCAGCCGCGGUAAUACGGAGGGGGUUAGCGUUGUUCGGAAUUACUGGGCGUAAAGCGCACGUAGGCGGAUCGGAAAGUUGGGGGUGAAAUCCCAGGGCUCAACCCUGGAACUGCCUCCAAAACUAUCAGUCUAGAGUUCGAGAGAGGUGAGUGGAAUUCCGAGUGUAGAGGUGAAAUUCGUAGAUAUUCGGAGGAACACCAGUGGCGAAGGCGGCUCACUGGCUCGAUACUGACGCUGAGGUGCGAAAGUGUGGGGAGCAAACAGGAUUAGAUACCCUGGUAGUCCACACCGUAAACGAUGAAUGCCAGUCGUCGGGUAGUAUACUAUUCGGUGACACACCUAACGGAUUAAGCAUUCCGCCUGGGGAGUACGGUCGCAAGAUUAAAACUCAAAUGAAUUGACGGA